AUACGUAGGGGGCGAGCGUUGUCCGGAAUGAUUGGGCGUAAAGGGCGCGUAGGCGGCCCGGUAAGUCUGGAGUGAAAGUCCUGUUUUUAAGAUGGGAAUUGCUUUGGAUACUGUCGGGCUUGAGUGCAGGAGAGGUCAGUGGAAUUCCCAGUGUAGCGGUGAAAUGCGUAGAGAUUGGGAGGAACACCAGUGGCGAAGGCGGCUUACUGGACUGUAACUGACGCUGAGGCGCGAAAGUGUGGGGAGCAAACAGGAUUAGAUACCCUGGUAGUCCACACCGUAACCGAUGAAUGCUAGGUGUAGGGGGUAUCGACCCCUUCUGUGCCGCAGUCAACACAAUAAGCAUUCCGCCUGGGGAGUACGGCCGCAAGGUUGAAACUCAAAGGAAUUGACGGGG
RNAcentral lists this ribosomal RNA (397 nucleotides) under uncultured bacterium. RNAcentral describes it as "partial 16S ribosomal RNA". It matches the Rfam family "Bacterial small subunit ribosomal RNA", at positions 523 to 918 of the family's 1533-position model. The record is from RNAcentral.